Zingiber officinale is the source of this 1622-nucleotide long non-coding RNA. RefSeq lists it as uncharacterized. The record is from RefSeq and is a predicted model, not a curated record. The transcript has 6 exons. Lineage: Eukaryota; Viridiplantae; Streptophyta; Magnoliopsida; Zingiberales; Zingiberaceae.
ACCUCCUGUUCUAGUGCACAAUUCCUUUAUAAAUAAAUGCACUUCAGACUUCGACCUCGCUUCACCGCUCUACCAUAAAACAAAAAAGAGAGAUAGAAGAGGAGGAUGGAGAAGAUGAAGAAUCUCAUGGCCGUCGUUUCUUCUUCCUCUCCCUCUCCGCUGUCGCUGCUGUCUUCGUUCUCAAGUUUGAGAGUGAACGGGCAGGCGGUGGCAACACGCCCCGGCAGCUAUGUCAGUGGGUUUAGUUUGUGAUGAGGAGGCACCCACUGUCCCUCCUUCCUCCUCCCGCCCCUUCGACGACGACGACAACUACCAACCCUACAACUCCUACUCCUAUUUUGUCGACUGUAGAAGGCAACUUCACUUUCCUGCCAUCGCCCUCUUCAUUCUUCUUUUCUGAGACUGAAACUUCCACGUGAGGAAUCCGGACCAACUAGGCAUUGUGUAUAAUGUCCUAAAAAGAGUGGACCAGAGUUUUUGGGCUUGCUAGUUGCAGAUCCAUGACCAUGGAGGAGAUCAAGGAGCCGCUGAUGGGGGACGAGGAGAUGCCUCCUUUGCUGGAAGACCAAGAGACUGACACCAAGCUUCACUGCAUUGCUCUCUUUGUUGAGCCCUCUCCCUUCAUGUUAAUAAUGUAGCGUUUGGUUACAUUAAACCAGUUUUAGAGGUGACUCAAGAGGAAUACAAGCACAUCAUGAACACCAACUUGGAAGCUGAUUUCCAUUUGAGUCAACUUGCUCAUACUCUUCUUAAGGCAUCUGGACAGGGCAAUAUCAUCUUCAUUUCCUUGAUUGCGGGUCUCGAAGGAUACUCUUCUUUGUAUGUCUAUGGAUCAUCUAAGGCUACUCUAAAGCAGUUACAAAAGCUUUCUCCAGAAUUUCAUUGUGUAAGUUGAGGACCUAUUGGAUGCAAACAUAUGCAGGGAUGGAAGGACUUUUUAACAGAUCAGCUGCUCCAUCCUUUAAAUUUUAGGUUGGGAAAUAUGAAACUGCUUUGCUAUGUCUGGGCUCGCGCAUAGUCCCAUCCUUUGAAAGCUUUGGAGGCUUACUUUGGCCUUUUUGAUGACCAUGGAGGUAAGGGAGCUAUUGAAUUUGCUUCAAAAAAGAUGGGAGAGUAUAUUGUAGGCGAAGUGUUGUCGAGCAACAGAGAAGGCUUCAACGAUGUAGAUUGAGCUAUUUGGGAUGGAGACUUGAAAAUUGAUUCAGAGUUCCUAAAGGAAGGAAUGGAUGGAGGGGCUUCUUAUGUCAUUGCCUUACUUAGAGGUGCCAUUCUGGUAGUGUCUAAUGCUGGUGAUUGUCGUGCUGUAUUGUGCCACUCUGGUAAAGUAGAGGCCCUUACAUUUGAUCACUGCCCUUCUCGUGAAGAUGAAAGGCAACAAAUUGCAAGCACCAUAAGUAUAAUCUAUAAAAUUUUGUCUAGAUUUGUUCUUCUAGUUGUUUCACAAUAUCUUUAGAAAAUACUUUUGAAGUAAUUACUCAAAAGUAAUAUUACAUUAGCUCAGAUUAGGAACUCUAUUCCAAAUAACAUUAUUAUAAUAACAAUCUGAAUUCAAAAAUAAGGGACUUAUGUAUAUGGUGUACUUGUAUUUAUUUUAUUAUCUAUAGUUGAAUUUCAAUUCUUUC